Molecule: non-coding RNA, 28 nt
Filed under: Bombyx mori (domestic silkworm)
Lineage: Eukaryota; Metazoa; Arthropoda; Insecta; Lepidoptera; Bombycidae
Source: RNAcentral
UGGCCAAAGAGAGUGAUGGGACUAACGG